CCCCCGAGAUAUCCUGGAGAACAAAGUCCCUUCCCAGUGGGGAAGCUCAUGAAAAGAUGGAUUGGCCAGAGAACCUGAUCAUCGCAUGGGACUGCCCAGGAAGCCAGAAGUCACGAAAGGCUCUUAUGUGCCAGCAGGAGAUGAUGAAAAGAAACAACAACCACAGCAGAGAAUGCAUAGACAGGAGGUGAGAGCAGCAGGGACUUCUAAAGAAGCCCUUUGUGUGAUUCCCAUAGAAGAAUCCAGAGAGCUUAAAUCGUUCUGAAUUUAAAACACAAAAAUACAACCAACUCACACAAAGAUAUCCUUGUUUUAAAGCCAACCCGCACAACACUGUGAGAACCAUUGACUUACAGAAGAUAUCUGUGAAAAUUGGUUAUCUCAGCUCAGCUGUUUGUGGAUCGAUCUUCUACCAGAAGGGGCUAAGUGCUAAGGAAUGGCUGCCUCCUUUUCUUGCCUGCUUACUCUUAGGUCUUUAUUCCUUUCCCCUUUAUCCUCGUGCCCACCACUCACGGAACCUUACCUAAUGUGUUAAGCCUCUUCUUCAUGGCAUUUCCAUGGCUAUUGAGAAAUUCCAAAACCUCAUGGGAAACAAGUUACUUAUCUCAACGUGGAAGAAAAACCCUCUGACUGGGCUCUCCAGGAAAUCUAACAAGCAAGUACUACAAACAGUAUCCAGCCAGAUUUUCCCUGCUGGCCUGUUGCUCGAAGAUCUAGUUCACUAGUACCAGUGAGUGCUUCUCCCUGGGAUUAAUUAAAGAUCUCUCUGCUACAGCCUGCCUUAAAUAUGUAGGGCAUCCAGAGACAAUUAAUGGGGAUCUGUGGAGCCUCCAGAUUGUGGAAGAUUGAAAGAUGAUUGAAAGAGGAGGGAAAAAAAAUCUUGCAGUGUCAUCCACCACGUCUUGCCUCCGGAAAUAACACCUUUAGAACACUGAAGUAUUCUGCACAUUUUAACCCAUCCGGAAGGCAGCUUUGGUGCCUCACCAGGCUAAGUCACCAUGCAGAUCUGCUUCUGGCUUCUCAUCCUUUGCUGGGUGAGCAUGGACAGGCCGCAACUUCUUCAUGCCUCUCUUUGUACACACUUAAAAGAAGGGAGUUCACUUUCCUGUGAAACCAAACUACAGGAUAAAGGCGUUACCUUGCAAUUUACUUUGAUUUAAAGUAUGCUCUGGAAAAAAUAAAUGAGACCACUUAACAAAUGAGAAAAACA
RNAcentral lists this long non-coding RNA (1210 nucleotides) under Chrysolophus pictus (golden pheasant). RNAcentral describes it as "lncRNA (ENSCPIG00010014877.1)". The record is from RNAcentral. Lineage: Eukaryota; Metazoa; Chordata; Aves; Galliformes; Phasianidae.